Molecule: transfer RNA, 75 nt
Filed under: Rikenellaceae bacterium
Lineage: Bacteria; Pseudomonadati; Bacteroidota; Bacteroidia; Bacteroidales; Rikenellaceae
Description: tRNA-Arg
Rfam family: tRNA
About the family: Transfer RNA (tRNA) molecules are approximately 80 nucleotides in length. Their secondary structure includes four short double-helical elements and three loops (D, anti-codon, and T loops).
Source: RNAcentral
GCCCCCUUAGUUUAAUGGAUAAAAUUUAGGAUUCCGGUUCCUACGAUAGGCGUUCGAUUCGCCUAGGGGGUACAA